GAAUUUGAAUGACAAUAAUAUCACGUAUAUUCAACGCGGUACCUUCGAAAACCUUCCGAAUUUAGAAGAACUAUAUUUGAGCAACAACCAAAUACAAAACUAUGAGGAUGGCGCGUUCUUAUUCCUUCCCAGUAUUUCUUACAUCUACCUCAGUAACAAUAACGAUAUGAUGUGUGGAUGUCACCUGCAGCCUUGGUAAAUUAUAUUAAAUCAACAUUCAGCAGAACUGUGAGUGUCCGAGGCGAGUGUCAGACAGAUCCAGGCAAUAACCAAAGCAAAAUUAUACCUAUAAUGGAAUACUCGCAAUGUCAAAGUUAGUAAAAUCUUCCUUGCUUCUGUUGUUAUGUUAUUACCUCUGACAAGGUCGACGAGUUACCACAAUCGUUGGCCCGCCGGACAAAACGCCCAGCAACAUUUCGUGCAACGUUACAGUCAUAGUUCAAACUCUGUCCAGAACGAUUUUGCUUUUAACCCACUCGGGGUCGAUAAAAUAAGUAUCAAUUGAACACUGCGGUCGAUGUAAU
Molecule: long non-coding RNA, 524 nt
Organism: Octopus sinensis (East Asian common octopus)
Lineage: Eukaryota; Metazoa; Mollusca; Cephalopoda; Octopoda; Octopodidae
Exons: 3
Source: RefSeq, a predicted model, not a curated record